GCUACCAUUUAAAUUACAAAUUAUGUUGUAUAUUUACACUUGACUGUUUAUUUAAACUUUUACAGGACAAUUUUAUGAGUUUGGACUUCUGAAAAGAAAUACAGAAGUGCUAGGAGAAUUAGCACCCAGUGAACUAGACAACUUCGAAAAAAUAUUGCAGAGAUUCUAUCAAUCCCUUGCCGCAGCAGAUGCGAAUAUGACAACUAUAAUAAACUCAAUC
Molecule: long non-coding RNA, 220 nt
Organism: Myzus persicae (green peach aphid)
Lineage: Eukaryota; Metazoa; Arthropoda; Insecta; Hemiptera; Aphididae
Exons: 3
Source: RefSeq, a predicted model, not a curated record